GCUCUAAAAACAUGACUGACAGUUGGUGUUUGGCAGUCGAUGCGAAUGCAUCUGGAUCAAGAAUAUUGUUAACGUAUAUGUUGAAGUUGUAUAAAUCCAAUUUCGCAUUAAUUAUAGUGCCAGUUUAUAGAAAAAUGAGAAUAAUGGAUACGCAUAUUGAAUAUCAGAAAAAACAUAAUGAAAAUUACUGUUCCAAAGGAGCACUAAUGCAGUACAGGAUUCUAGUUGUUACAGAAGGAAUAACAUACAUUUAUUGAAAACAUUAUUGAUGUGUUUAAUCACCUGAAGGAAAUCUUGAAUCAACAUAAUACUGAAUUUCAAAAAUGAUUUUAACAUAAAUCGGUUAAAUUAAGAGAUGAACCUAUCCUAAGUUUUAAACAUGUUCUAUUGAAAGAGAAUGAAAUGACCUGAUUAUCAAAAGUAUCCAGUGUUCAUGACUUGUAAGAAAACCAGAAACAUGAAAAAAUAUAAUCGAGAUGUAUUAUUGAGGAAUUAUGUAGAGACAUGCCAUUAUGUUCUAUUUAGAUGCCUUCUCAGUAAUAUACAAUAAACAGAAAAACAGAGUUGAUGAAUAGAAGAUCACAGCUUUGUUGUUGUGGACUCUUUUGCUGUUGCAAAUAUAGAUCUCUUGGAAAGACACUGUUUCCGAAGGUUCUGAAGAUUUAUCACUGUACUUCAAUGAUAAUGAGACAAGUUUUGAUACAUGUAGAAGAAAUAAUUUAGACCAUCUCCGAUAUAAACACCUUUAUGAGGGUUAACAAUACUGUUAAUUUAACCAACAAGCCUGAAUUCCAGGAGAUUUAAAAAAUUUAGAAAAUCCAGAUUUUUCUGUCUGCAAUAGACUAUCCUGAGUAUUUUGAGUACAGAACCUUACAGUGGACCAUCUCAACUGGAAGUAACCUUCGGAGUACGAAUAAGGAAGAUGA
Ctenocephalides felis (cat flea) is the source of this 926-nucleotide long non-coding RNA. RefSeq lists it as uncharacterized. The transcript is spliced from 5 exons. The record is from RefSeq and is a predicted model, not a curated record. Lineage: Eukaryota; Metazoa; Arthropoda; Insecta; Siphonaptera; Pulicidae.